UUUAGGGAGACCUACCCACUCAGAUAUCGAACACAAUCAGUCAUUAGRUAUUGAGUUGGUCAUCCUAAGGUCGGUCGCAGAUAGUAUUUAUGGCUUUCAAACUAUGAUUGGUUCGUUUAGGGGCUAUURGCUCAGGUGGUUAGAGCGCACCCCUGAUAAGGGUGAGGUCCCUGGUUCGAGUCCAGGAUGGCCCACCUGAAUCAAUGCAAAAUUAAAAAUGCAAAAUUCAAAAUAGAAGAAACCUUUUUGAAUUUUGCAUUUUGAAAUUUGAAUUGUGUGGGGGGGUUUAGCUCAGUUGGUAGAGCGCCUGCUUUGCAAGCAGGAUGUCAGCGGUUCGAGUCCGCUAACCUCCACCUAGUGUGACAGUUGCCAAAGUGAAUAAACACAGCUAGAAAUAGUAAAAAAGUGUUAAUAUAACUUUUGUGGCGGUGAACAGUGUAUGGUAGAGUAAUAGAUUGGGAACAAUUCAGCAACAUGGUGAUUAGCCAGACUGCUGGGAUUGAAACCAGCCAGAACCUUGAAAACUGCAUAGUGACGCGAAAAGAAAAUGCAGGCAGACACAGACAUUGUCAAGAUGUUGGUGAAUGCUCGAAAAGUGAAACACCAAAAUGUUUGAGU
This 618-nucleotide transfer RNA is filed under the name Cylindrospermum alatosporum CCALA 994. Its description in RNAcentral is "16S-23S ribosomal RNA intergenic spacer". The stretch from base 281 to 353 matches the Rfam family "tRNA". The record is from RNAcentral. Lineage: Bacteria; Bacillati; Cyanobacteriota; Cyanophyceae; Nostocales; Nostocaceae.